RNAcentral lists this ribosomal RNA (500 nucleotides) under uncultured Myrionecta. RNAcentral's name for it is "SSU rRNA". It matches the Rfam family "Eukaryotic small subunit ribosomal RNA", at positions 33 to 598 of the family's 1831-position model. The record is from RNAcentral. Lineage: Eukaryota; Ciliophora; Litostomatea; Cyclotrichida; Mesodiniidae.
CUGUUCUAAGACUAGCCAUGCACGUCUAAGUACAAACUAAAUGAUGGUGAAACUGCAAAUGGCUCAUUACAACGGUUAUGAUGUACCCGGGAGUUCCGAUGGAUAUUUCCAGUAACACUAGAACUAAUACAUGUCCCUGCGUUUAUUAGUUUCGCACAGUCCGUCGCUGAGUCAUGGUAAACAGUUGAUCGACUCGACGUCCCGGAACAGUUUCCGCCCCAUCAGCUUCGAUGGUUGGGUAUUGGCCUACCAUUGCAACAACGGGUAACGAGGAAUUAGGGUUUGAUUUCGGAGAGGGAGCCUGAGAAACGGCUACCACAUCUACGGAUGGCAGCAGGCGCGCAAAUUACCCAAUGCAGACACUGUGAGGUAGUGACGAGAAAUAAUAAAGCGGGACUUCUGUUUCGCUAUUAUAAUGAGGAAUAACCAAAGGUCAUUCCGAUUAGCAACUGAUGGGAAAGUCUGGUGCCAGCAGCCGCGGUAAUACCAGCGUCAGUAGC